AAUUAACUUGGUUCUGAUUAACCAGAUUAGUUAUUCUUAUAUAUUUACAUGGUAGUUAAUACGCGACCUAUGAGACGCAAAAUAUUUUAACAAUCUAUUCACUUCAAAGCUUAUAAGCACACCACUCCCCAGCUCAUAACCCCAGUAUAUUACAUUAUUAUAAACGAAAGUUUGACCUAGCAAUAGAAAAGGAAAGGCUAAGGUUGUGCCAGCAGUCGCGGUUACACAACAUUCCAAACUAAUCUCCCCUGAGUUCAAAAUGUUCAUAAUACUUAAAUCCCCGGAACAUAAAACCCUAUUAAGAAGUUAAAUUUGAAGAUAGGCCAAUAACUAAAAGUUCCCCCGCUUUGCCUGAACAAAACUAACCUAAAAACUGGGAUUAGAUACCCACUAUUCUACUGCACCUAUAAUUUUAUUUACUAAGGAACUAUGAGCAAAUAGCUUCAAAACUAAAGAACUUGGCGGUACUUUAUCCUCUUAGGGGAACCUGUCCUGUCAUUGACAAUCCACAAUUAAUCUUACCGGCCUUAGUCAUUUAUAUCAUCAGCCUGCAUAUCGUUGUCACCAGCCCAUCUUUAAGAGAAAAAAAUAGAAGCCUCCCAAACCCUACUUACAAUGUCAGAUCAAGAUACAGCUAAUAAGCAGGUCAGCGAUGGGUUACAAUACACACUUUCGUUAUUGGAUCUUUUAACCUAGAAAGUUUAAGCGAACUUAAAGUAAUCUUGCCAAUAACAUAGCAUCAUGAACAGGCCCUAAAAUGUGCACAUAUCGCCCGUCGCUCUUAAUUCACCACUAAGAUAAGUCGUAACAUAGUAGAUGUAGCGGAAGCUGCCUCUGCUCCAUA
RNAcentral lists this non-coding RNA (844 nucleotides) under Laevipilina hyalina. Lineage: Eukaryota; Metazoa; Mollusca; Monoplacophora; Tryblidiida; Neopilinidae. The record is from RNAcentral.